RNAcentral lists this small nucleolar RNA (133 nucleotides) under Castor canadensis (American beaver). Its description in RNAcentral is "Small nucleolar RNA SNORA51 (ENSCCNG00000001232.1)". It matches the Rfam family "Small nucleolar RNA SNORA51". Rfam says of the family: ACA51 is a member of the H/ACA class of snoRNA that guide the sites of modification of uridines to pseudouridines. Lineage: Eukaryota; Metazoa; Chordata; Mammalia; Rodentia; Castoridae. The record is from Rfam by way of RNAcentral.
AGCCUCCUGUUGCUUACCACAUGCUGUGCUCUUACCUUGACUAUAUAGAAAGAGGAGACAAAGUAAACCUACCCUCCAUAUACACCUCAGCCCAGGCUCUGUGCCUGGCUGCAUUGUGAAUGGUGAGACACGG